GACCGCUGAGAUGGCCACACUGCCGAACGGUGCAGCGCUGGCGGUGUAACCGCCCGACUCCACCUCAACUGUCAACGUGCGCGCGAAGAAGAGAGAAAACAAAAACAAAGUGCGUGUGUGACACCCAGUCACAAGAAACCAUGCUGGGCAAGUCACCAUCGCGAAUUAUUAGGAAAAGUAAGAACUUUUUGCUUAGUUUAGCUUUUCGGAUAAGUAGGGGAAAAAUUGUGUAGACGCUGUAGAAGUUGAGUUUUUAUUGAACUUGCUCACAUCAGGCGCACCUCUGCGAAAGACGUCCGGGAAACUGCGCCACUACCGUACCGUCAGUUGGUGCUAAAUCGUACCGCGGUGAUAACCUGAAAAGGUGAACGGAAAGGUGAAGGAUAAGGAGGAAUGAGGAGAGGAAGGAGUCGUGAUUUGUAGGAAAGAGGAAGACUAUUUAAUUUUUGAGCUGUUUUCACACUGCUACAAAAAUUGGUCUCUCUGGUUCAUCCGAACAAA
Molecule: long non-coding RNA, 501 nt
Organism: Culex pipiens pallens (northern house mosquito)
Lineage: Eukaryota; Metazoa; Arthropoda; Insecta; Diptera; Culicidae
Exons: 4
Source: RefSeq, a predicted model, not a curated record